GGAUGAGGAGUGGGCAGGACGCUGCAGAUGGACAUGUCUUCAAUCUAAAAAUGAGAGGGCUUUGUUCACUCAGUACGAUUCCACCAAAAACACUAGAAGAAAGGUUAUUACCGAGUUGAGCUUCGUGGAGACAAGUCAUCUUGUGCUUACAAGUCAACGGGUGAAAUGCGUUUCCUCUACUACUGGAAUCGGGAGCAUCAUCAAAGGGAUUACUAGUGGUAUAGUUUUGAGGAAUGCGACUUCUCCACCUUAGACAAGGUGACUGUCACAGAGAUAAAAAGUGCAUAGAGGUGGGUGUUGAGCUGCCCUAUUCAUCCUUGUUCCGGGUAUAGUGCUUUCAAGCUUACCGUGGGCAGGCCUUGAUCAUGCUCUAGAUUAUUCUUUUAUUUGUUUGUGUAUUUUCUUUCUAACUUGUUUUUUCUAUGUCUUAAGUUGAGCUGCCAUAUUCAUCCAAUGAUUAUCUCCCUGUUAUAUGUUGAUAGAGAGGUUCUAAAGGAAGAU
This 501-nucleotide long non-coding RNA is filed under the name Lupinus angustifolius (narrow-leaved blue lupine). Its description in RNAcentral is "long non-coding RNA (LANG_LNC000062)". The record is from RNAcentral. Lineage: Eukaryota; Viridiplantae; Streptophyta; Magnoliopsida; Fabales; Fabaceae.